RNAcentral lists this long non-coding RNA (483 nucleotides) under Homo sapiens (human). RNAcentral's name for it is "HSALNT0399107". Lineage: Eukaryota; Metazoa; Chordata; Mammalia; Primates; Hominidae. The record is from RNAcentral.
GUGAUUUUCCUGCCUCAGCCUCCCGAGUAGCUGGGAUUACAGCAAUCCUGAGAUGAGGAGGCUGAGGCCAAAGGAAAGACUAAGACCUGCCCAUGGACACAUGUUGGCAAAGACCAAGCAGGAACUCGAGCCAGUUUACCUGAAACCAAGGUCCAGGCAUUUGUGAAGAGUUGAUGGUCUUGCCUGGAAUGCCCAACCCCAUGUCCUGGACGUCUUUCGACUGGACUGCCCAGACCUCAGAGCAGGGUCUGUGUUGACUCACCUCAUGUCUCCAGCUCUCCCAGCUCUCAGGGCCUUGCACAGAGAAAAUGCUAACUUAACCUUGGUUUGCUGAAGGAACAAACCAGUUCUCCAGCACCUUGGCUUCAGACAGUUGCAGAUGUUUGCAGAAGACUCCUUGGACAUGGAAAGGUGAGUGCUGAGAGGACAUGGGCAGGACAAUGACCAGGUGGGGUGACACAAUGCAGUAUGUGAGGACUAGCA